GUCCUGCGCUGCAUCCCCGUCCCACUCCGCCUGCCCCGCCGCCCAGUUCCUCGCCGGCGACCAAGGACGCCGUGGUCCCCAGGGUAAGGGACCCGGGAGGCUCGGUCCCCGAGGACGCUGGAUCCCGCGCUCUGCCCACCUGCCUACCUCUGCGGCGGCGCCCGAAGUCCCGGCUCCUUGCCCGCGCCGGCCGCACUCGGAGCCCCGAGCGGCCGGGACAGCGCCGCCUCCUGCAGGAUUGGCGGCCAGAGUAGCUAAUCGGAAGGGGAGGCCGACCACCUGGCGUCACUGGAGGAGGUGUUUAUAACUCUGGCUCCUCCUGGUGCCCCUCGGAGUAAGGAGCCCUGUCCCAAGCGGUGUUCCCACUGUCGUCCCCACACCUAUCAGGGCCCGAUGAAGCAUUUAGUCAUCUCUUUUUCAUUCCCUUUGCCUCGAUUGGACCUGUGGACCACCCUCUUGCAUUGUCUCUAGGCGUGAAUGAACUCUCUCCUCUUGCCAAUCCUUUCUUUCUGCAUUUUCUAGUUGUUUCGAUGGAGACAAAAGUUUCUGACCUCACGCCGUCGGGUGAUCUGUGUCCUCAUUAUCACCGUGUCUGUGGACAGCACACAUCAAUGGUGACAGGCUAAGCUCAAAACUUCCAGAGCUCAUGAGAUUUUAGUAGGCAUUAGUAAGACCUCACAAAGGUGUUUUGUUGUUUGUUUUGUAGGUCUUUGUUUAAGAUACUACAUAUGAAAGCCACAUAAGAAAUUAGUGCUCCAGUGAUAUAGGAAUAUCAAAUGUGGGGCUGGGAAGAUGGCUCAGUGGGCAAAAGCACACUUUACCUGUAGUUGCAGUGCAAUCCUGGUGAGCCGAGCUUAAUUCUGUAAAGGCAGAAUGAGAGAACUAACUCCACAAAGCUGUCGUCCUCUGACCUCCAUACAUGUCUGUUAUACACACAGAUGUCAUGUACACACGACUACCAUUCUACUGCAGACAUUUUUAUUCUAGCUGUGUAGUAACUGCAAAGUGGACAGGAUCUUUAAAACACAUGGGGAAAUGUUAACAAGUGAGGAUAUGGGACCUGAACUGAAACAAGGUUUAGUUCAUCAAAACGAUCUGUUACUACAGUAUCAGACCUCAUCAAAGGACCCUGUUACUAUACUAUUACAGUUCAUCAAAAGACCCUGUUAAUAAAGUUUCAGUGUUCAUCAAAGGACCUUAUUACUACAGUAUCAAGAGUUCAUCAAAGGACUCUGUUACUACAGUAUCAAGAGUUCAUCAAAGGACCCUGUUACUAAAGUUUCAGUGUUCAUCAAAGGACCUUACUACUACAGUAUCACAGUUCAUCAAAGGACCCUGUUACUACACUAUUACAGUUCAUCAAAGGACCCUGUUACUACACUAUUACAGUUCAUCAAAGGACUCUGUUACUACAGUAUCAAGAAUUCAUCAAAGAACCCUGUUACUAAAGUUUCAGUGUUCAUCAAAGGACCUUACUACUACAGUAUCAAGAGUUCAUCAAAGGACCCUGUUACUACAGUAUCGGACCUCAUCAAAGGACCCUGUUAGUACAGUAUCAGAGGCAGGGGCAGACUCAGCAAACAUGCAAUGUGGGCAUGAGUGUGUGUGAAUGAGCCAGUGAUGGUUGUAGUAAUGUCUAUAAAGGAGACUGAACCAUCCUGGCAGUCAUAGGUUCUGAGGUAUUGAGCAAGAUCUACCUCAACAUAACUGAGGAUGUCUAUCUAAAGUUUAUUUUACCCUAGUGCCUGUACAAUGGAAGCUUUUAGUAACUUUCAAGUUGAAUAAAAAGGUAUUUGGUUCCACCAAUCAGA
Long non-coding RNA from Mastomys coucha (southern multimammate mouse), 1811 nucleotides. RefSeq lists it as uncharacterized. NCBI's taxonomy places the organism in Eukaryota, Metazoa, Chordata, Mammalia, Rodentia, Muridae. The record is from RefSeq and is a predicted model, not a curated record. The transcript has 2 exons.